CUACAUCCACUAAGAGCUUGAAGGAGUAUAGUUGCUAAGUUUACAAUGGACGGUCGACGUCAAGUGCUCUUUCUUUUCCUGAUUCUCAUGGGAUGCUUUGCCGUUCUUGGACGAUGUAAAUGUUGGAUGAAAAGUACUUUAGCAUCCUUUGCUUUCUUUACCCAGAAAGCCAAUCUGGUUGAUUGACUUGCACAAUUUCAAAACGUUUUUUGUCAUGCAGUAGCAUUGCACGGGGAAUAUAACUUACAAACGUUUGUGUUACACCUUGCAGCUCGAAGCAUCAACGACAUGCAUAGUAGUAAGAUUACUGUGCAGUGUUGCAGAUACCUGAAAGCACAACCGAACCCGAAACCUCCGUUAGUAUGCUGCACACCCUUCAAGACAUCAUCAUGCUUUGAGAUGAAGAAAGAAUGCCUGGAAACCUGUUGCAAACAGUCCAAAACUAAUUUUACCGAUGUCACUUGGUCCCUUCCUAUUCUGCACUGACCAUAAUUCUAGUCUUAUUCCGCAAUAAGAGAUUUGACAUAAAAUAAUCCAUGAGUUUUUACUUCUAUAUUAGUCAAAAUUUCCCUCUUUAAUUUUUGUGUGUGGUCUCUCUCGUCUGCUAUGUUGUUGUUAGAGUGUUCU
Molecule: long non-coding RNA, 627 nt
Filed under: Triticum aestivum (bread wheat)
Lineage: Eukaryota; Viridiplantae; Streptophyta; Magnoliopsida; Poales; Poaceae
Description: long non-coding RNA (TAES_LNC009330)
Source: RNAcentral